UACGGAGGGUGCAAGCGUUGUUCGGAUUCACUGGGUAUAAAGGGUGCGCAGGCGGCCCGAUAAGUCAGGGGUUAAAUAUGACGGCUCAACCGUCAAGCCGCCCCUGAAACUGUCGGGCUUGAGUCCGGGAGAGGAAGGUGGAAUUCCUGGUGUAGCGGUGAAAUGCGUAAAUAUCAGGAGGAACACCGGUAGCGAAGGCGGCCUUCUGGCCCGGUACUGACGCUCAGGCACGAAAGCCAGGGGAGCAAACGGG
This 253-nucleotide ribosomal RNA is filed under the name uncultured bacterium. Its description in RNAcentral is "partial 16S ribosomal RNA". It matches the Rfam family "Bacterial small subunit ribosomal RNA", at positions 524 to 776 of the family's 1533-position model. The record is from RNAcentral.